Molecule: ribosomal RNA, 253 nt
Filed under: uncultured bacterium
Lineage: Bacteria
Description: partial 16S ribosomal RNA
Rfam family: Bacterial small subunit ribosomal RNA
Source: RNAcentral
GACAGAGGGUGCAAACGUUGUUCGGAAUUACUGGGCGUAAAGCGCGUGUAGGCAGCUCGGAAAGUCGGAUGUGAAAGCCCUGGGCUCAACCUAGGAAGUGCAUUCGAAACUUCCGAGCUGGAGUGCUGGAGAGGAAGGCGGAAUUCUCGGUGUAGAGGUGAAAUUCGUAGAUAUCGAGAGGAACACCGGUGGCGAAGGCGGCCUUCUGGACAGUCACUGACGCUGAGACGCGAAAGCGUGGGGAGCAAACAGG